Molecule: long non-coding RNA, 27233 nt
Filed under: Nicotiana tabacum (common tobacco)
Lineage: Eukaryota; Viridiplantae; Streptophyta; Magnoliopsida; Solanales; Solanaceae
Description: long non-coding RNA (NTAB_LNC018942)
Source: RNAcentral
AGCAGCUAAUCCAACACCUUUGGUAUGGCCAGGAGCCAUGACAUUAGCACCUCCACCAUACCUAACAUAAUAAGCACUCUGGAAUGCCUUCACAAAACCCACACCACAGAUUGCACCCAAACACUGUGCCACCAUGUACAAUACUGCUCUGAUCAAUGAUACUUUCCUUGCCAAAAACAGCCCAAAUGUCACUGCUGGGUUUAUGUGUCCUCCUGUAUGCAUAUAAACGUAUAUUAGUAAUAUUUAAUUUUUGUGCACUGAUAAUUUUUAUUUUAUAUUAAGAUGACUAAUAAUAACAUAUAAUCAUUAAUAAAUAUUCUAAUCUGAGAUGACUUUUAUGACGAAUUAAAAUGGGUGAUAUUUUUUUUUAAAAAUUACUCCUUUAGUGCAUAUAAAUUAAAUUUGUAUUUUCACACAAUUCAAUAUGAUAUCAGAGUAUUUGAAUUAAAAUUUCACGAUUAUCAUAUUAUCAAGAUGACUUUCUACUAAGAAAUAAAACCAACUGAAUUGUAAAGAAACAAUUAAUACACUUAAAAGAAUCACCUAAACGAUAAUAAAAAGUAAUUAUUUAUAAAAUUAAAUUCAGUAACUUAAAAAAUAAGAACAGAUUAUUUGCUAUAAUAAAUUAAAAUAGACAUAGUUAGAUACUAAAAAUUAUUUACACUUUCAAUAUGUAUAAUUGAGUUGAAAUUAACUUUUAUAUACAGCCAAAAAAUUUAAUAAUAUCAAUUGAUGUAAAACAUGACUAAAAAAAAAGUUAAUAACCUAAAAAUAGAGCAUAUUACUUGCUAUAAUCUGUUUGACGGGACACGAAAUUUAAGAAAAAAUGAAUAUUUUUAAAAUUUAUGGCCCUAAACAAGUCAAAAAAUAUCCAAAUUUAAAAAAAAAAUAUUCUUUUUGGAACGAACAAAAAAAAUAAAUCGACCUAAACUGACACAGAGGGAGGGUGAAGCAAGAAACUUACCGGAGAUACCGGCGGUGCAGUAAACAAGAAUGAAAAUCAUGCCACCAAAAGCCCAAGCAAUACCAAGAAUACCAACGCCGCCACAGAUAUCACCGUCGGCUUUGACAUCUGACUGGACCUUAUACCCAAUCACAGUCAAAACAGUAACAUAAAGGAAAAGCAAAGUGGCAAUGAACUCAGCAAUAACAGCUCUGUAAAGUGACCAUUGUGUCAGCUCCUCAAAGUCUACUAAAGGAGCUGGUGGAGGGUCAGUAUAGUCUUUUGCUGAAAACUCUGUUGGUUGCUCUGUUGCUACCUCUACUUCUUUAGUCAUGGCUGACGAAAAAGAAAGAAAAUUUGAAACAAGGGAUAUGGAUGAUGAGAAGUGAGUGUAAAAUGGAUAGGUAUUUAUGGGAGAAAAGAGAGGACUUUUAAUGAUUUAUUUUAGAGUGGAAAAAGAAUUUAUGUUUAGUUUAAUUGUUUUAACUUAAUAUUAUUUUGAGCCGUCCAAUACUACUCCAUUAUUGUCGAAUUUGUGAGCUUGCAAUUGGUCCCCACGGGCCACCAUUUCAAUACAACGGCUUUCUUAUAGUCUACCUUUGGCUUUCUACUUAAUUAAAAUGUGUUCUUUUAGUACGUUAUCUUUUGUGGUUUUUGUUUUAUUUGAUUGGUUUGGCAUUUAGACUUUAAUUUAUUAAUUUGGAGUAUUUUCAGAAAGAUUUAUCAAAAGCUUAGAAAGGGAAAUUUGCCUGGCAACGGUACGUGGCUAGCUGGAUUGCAAAACAAAACUAGAAAACGAAAGCAAUUAUAAAACAACAACAACAACCCACUAAAAUUCCAAUGGUGGGAUCUGGGGAAGGUAGUGUGUAAGCAGACCUUAUCCCUAUCUCAAAGGAGUAAAGAGGCUGUUUCCGAAAGACCCUCGGCUCAAGAAAACACAAAGACAAAAGAGAAAAAUAUUAGUAUCACCACGAUAAUCAUAGAAAAAAAAAUAGAAACAUGAAAUUUAGAAGGAAGAGGCAAAACAAAAGUGAUAGUUAGUAAAAUAGGUUUUGUACUAAAAAAAAAAGCAAUUAUAAAAGUUGAUACAUAAUGCUGUAAUUUUAAAGAAAAUACCUCUGGCCAUAUUAUUUGUUGUUUUGACAAGUUUUGACUUUGUUUAAUUAAUUGACGUUUUAGUAAAAAAUAAAAAUACAAACAUUUAUGCGGAGUAAUUUUUUUCAAAUUUACUAUUACUAUUCUAAUAGUAGUAGUGAUAAAGAACAAUUUUGACAAAUAUUCUUAUUAAGAUUGUUAAAUAUUUUUCUUAAAGCAUGUGCAUGAAUAUUGGACGAAAUAACUCCAACAGUAUAUCGAUAGCGAUUUAGAUAACUUCUCCAAGUCUGCCUUAUCUAUUUGUAGGGGCGUACAAAUGAAACUGAUAAAUUGCACCAACUUAAUAAUUCGAGUUAAACCGAAAAAAAAUCCAAUUAUAGUUUGGUGUUGAAAAAAAUAACCCGACCAUGUUUAGUUUGGUUUGGUUUUAACUAAAAAAAUUCAAACCGAAACCAAACCAACCCGCUAUUAUAUGUAUAGAAGUUUUAAAUAUAUUUAAUAUAUAAAAAUAUUUAUAGUAGUGUAGUUUAUAAAUAUUCCUUAAGCUUUUUUAUAGUUUUAUUUUUUCACGUAUUCUUUCAAGUUUGGACUUAUAAUUUUUGGAUGCUCCAAUAAGUUUUAUAGUUCAUAAAUGUUAGUAACUCAAAUAAAUCCUAAACCAAUAUCAAAUCAAUGUUAAUGCUAAUAAAAGACAUUCAACUCAAUUAUACUAUUAAUGAAAAUAGUGUUGGAUAUUUAUUUUUUAGUUUUUCCGUGGUUUAGAUAAAAUGUAUAACUUAUUUUUCUUUUAGUGUUUAGUCAUCUAAAUAGUACUAUUUAUUAGUCAUACUUAUUUUAGCAAAUUAUUAGUAAUUUUAAAUUAUGCUUGUUUAUUAUGGCUUAUUAAUAAUACUUAUUUUAUGCGAUUUUAUUAUCUUUAUUGUUGAAUUUUUAGUUGUUUUCUUUCAUUGUUGAUCACCUUACUAUCUUGUUCUUUUUUUUCCUAUUUUUAUAUGGCUUUUUGGUACUGUCCCUUUUUGUCUAUAUUUUCAUUAAUGGGGUGCUUAUGCUUUCAUGAGCCGAGGGUCUGUUGGAAACAACCUCUCUAUCCUCACAAGGUGGGGGUAAGGUCUACGAACACACUAUCCUCCCCAGACCCCACGGUGUGGGAUAAUACUGGGUAUGUUGUUGUUGUUGUUGAAUAUUUUAGUACAAUGCCCUGACUCAUCUCAUAUUUAUGUUAUUUUAUUGAAAAACACCUUAUAUAGUUCUAUUUUACUAGGAUUAAAGAAAUAUUUGAAGCACAAAUUCUAUAUUUUGUGUUAUGAAAGACUUUAUGAAAAAAAAAAUCGAAAAAACUCGAGAAAAACCGAGAUUGAAAAAUCCGACUUUUAUUGGUUUGGUUUGGUCUUUAAAUUUAAUAACGAUACAAUUGAUUUGAUUUGGUAAUUAGAAAAUCGGAACCAACUCGACCUAUGUACACCCCUGCCUAUUUGUGUGUGAUCAAGUCGACCAAUCCAAACAUCUGUAGAUAGAAGUUGUUUGUCGAUCAGUAGACUCAUGCUCAAUAUCGUUUAGGCCAUUAUGAAUCAAAGCUAGUAGUAUUAAUUUAAGUGCUUAAGAGAAAAUUUCUGAUUUUGAAAGAGGAUGCUUCAUAUUUUCCCAAAAAGAACCAAAAUCGUAAAACUUGAGAAGCACGUUAAUCUGUGUGUAGAAUAUUGGCGAUUCUUCUGAUAAUUUUUCGAGUGUAUAAUAAUGUGCAACUAAAGAAAAAAGGCUAUGGAAUUGGCAACUAAAAGGGUGGAAGAAAAGAACAAAAACAAAAAAGGUAAUGCAUUGUCGACAAAUAUUGUAAGUACUAUCUUCGUUCUCUUUUAUAUUUUUAUUUGUCCAAUUUGCUUUUUUGCUUUUUACACUGCUCUUAGGUAAAUAUUAAAAAGUAUUUAUUUUACUAAAUUAUUCUCAUUAAUGGUAAUUAGACUACUAAUAUUUCAAUUAAUUUACAUAAGGACAAGGGUAAAAUUUAAAAACUAACAAAUUCACUCUUAAUUUGCUAAAAUAGACAAAUAAAAAAAUUUAAUAUUAUUUACUCGUAAAACAGUACAGUUGAAUUUAUACAUUAUUUAUAAACAACUGAAUUAAUUUUGAUCAUGAAAUAAUAGAUGAAUUAGAUAAAAAUAUAAUACUUAGCCUUAAGAUAGAGAUAAAAUAGCAGAAAUAGUAAUUCUGGGAGCAAGGUUCCCCGGGCACAAUAGCAAUGAUAUCAAAGAACAAAAAGAUAACAUUGUAUUAAGCUUUGAAUAGAAUGAAGCGAAUGUUUGCUAGAAAAUUCUUUUUUUCUUCAAUGAUAGUAGAGCUCACUAUUUAUAGCUGCACAUAGGGAACAAGGUCCUAGGAUCAAGCCCCUCUUUAAUGUCAGUUGUGAGGGUCAUUAAAGUAUAAAGGCAGGCAAUGAAUGUUAUAUUCCUUGUAACGGACCAUAUACUUAAUGCUUUAGAGUAUUCUUCAUUUAAUGCUACCGGUGGUAGACAUUUAUUUCAUCUCUGUGAGUAUUACUCUCUCUGCUAACAGAUGGGAUUGUCGCCUUCCGAUUCAACUGUCUUCUGUCUUCGGAUCCACGCGUCACUUUCUUAUUUGAUCAUUUAAAGUAAACAUAUUUUACCCUAUACAGAUAGUCCCUCUACUUUUCGGUGGCACAAAUUUAUGUCACCGGAAAGUUGGUAGAAAAUAACUCUUUUGGCGGAAAAUUCACUGACCUUCUCUGAAAAGUUUUCUAACGGUUGAUUAGACGCAAGUCUCUUUGCAUUUAAUGUCUCGAAAAUGCGUCAUCCCAUGAUUUAGCAUUAGUUUUAUUGGUCAUCGAGAUAAUUAUGGCCACAAUUUUAGCCGCCUAUUUCUUCACUUAUACACAUCAAACUCUUUUAUUCACACCUCAUAAUUCUUCAAAAUCUAUCAAACUUUCUUCGUUCAACUCGUACUUUAUCUCCACCAUUUCUUUAAUUUCCUUCAUAUGAGAAAAGCUUUUCCUUCAUCUUUAACAUAGAAUGGCUUCUUCUUCUAAAAAACUUAGUUCCUCAAAGAACAAAGGCAAAGCCGAUGAGGCCACUCCUCCUACAACAAGCACCAUCAUCCCUAGAAGUCUCGUCAUAACUUAAGUCUUCGAAGAAAAUUUCCUUCUGCUAAUGCUCGUACAUGGGCUGUUGGCAGAUACCCUUCUUCCAUCCGUCCUUCCAGUAUUCCUACUGUGAAGGAAGAUUGCCGUUGUCAGGAUUUAGAUAUUAUCGCUCCUGAUCUGACGGAGUGGAUAACCUUACCCAAGAAGGGUUUUACAUAAUUCUAUAUGUAUCCCUUCAUUUUGGGGGCAUUUUCUCUAAGUGGAGAGCUUGACUCCGUUAUUGUGGAAUUCUGCCUCUAUUGCUUGGUGUGUUUGACACAAGUAAGUCCUUCCAUAUGGAGGAUUAUUGCUUGUCUUCGGCGCCUUUUAUAAGAAAUGGGAGAGGAGCUAUCUCUAGCUCACGUGAUGAAUCUCUAUUACCCCAAGAUCUUAUGCAAGGGAAUGGUAAAUUUCAACAAACAUGGCCACUAUUUGCAACAAAUUAUUUGUGUUACAAAAAUAAAUCAUAACCACAAUAUAAAUAUGAAGAAACACAAUUUUAUUGAUAAAUAAUGCGGGUAAAAUUCUGUUUAUCUCUUGAUUCUUCCCUCUGCUUUAUUCUACAUGAUUCGAGGAUCUUAGCGGCAUAUUUCUCGAACGUAGGACUUUAAGCAAGAUAUAUUUGACAUGUCUUUGAUCUCUUAAUGAAUAUUCCAAAAGUUUCAUGGAAUAUCGAAGAUAUCAUAUUUGAUCUCUUUGUGCAUAUUUCUAGAGUUUAUAGAAUUGCUGAGAUUGUAUUUGAAGGACAUAUGUAGCCUUAUUUAUAAGCAUAAAUUAGGGUUUGGGUAGUGUAGCCACCAAGUAAUCCUAAUAGACUCCUAAUAUUUCAAGACGCAUCUUGAAUUAAGGAUUUAUCUUGAUCUGCUGAAAUUUUAGUGUCUACAAAUGCCCCCUACUUCAAGGUCUGUCGAAGUAUAGGCUUGCUAAAACUUGAAGACGAGACUUGAAGUACCUAACAAUCACAACAAAUAAUCAUGAAACUUGAAAUUUUUUAUUUGCAGGAGAAAGAGUUGAAGGGCAGAACUGGUCCCACUGGGCGUGCCAAUUUGUUUGCAACAAAUUAUUUGUGAUUCAAAAAUAAAUCUUAACCACAAUAUAAAUAUGAAUAAACAUAAUUUUAUUGAUAAACAAUGCGGGUACAAUUCUGUUUAUCCCUUGAUUCUUCCCUCUGCUUUUUUCUAUGUGAUUCGAGGGCGUUAACAGUGUAUUUCUUGAACGUAGGACUUUAAGCAAGACAUAUUUGACAUGUCUUUGAUCUCUUAAUGAAUAUUCCAAGAGUUUCUUGGAAUUUCGGAGAUCUCAUAUUUGAUCUCUUUGUGCAUAUUUUGAAAGUUUGUAGAAUUGCUGAGAUUGUCUUUGAAGGACAUAUGUAGCCUUAUUUAUAGGCAUAAAUUAGGGUUUGGGUAGAGUAGCCACCAAGUAACGCUAAUAGACUCCUAAUAUUUCAAGAGUCAUCUUGAAUUUAGAAUUUAUCUUGAUCUGCUGAAAUUUCAGUGUCUACAGCCACCAUGCUUUACUAUCUAGCAUGGAUGAUAAAAACGACCGUGGGUGGAUAGAAUGGUUUGUUGUAGUUGCCACCAAUAAUAUCAUUCCGACAACGACUUUAUCCUUUCCAAAAUUAUAGAACUGUACUCGUAAGUUCCUUGUUUAAUAUUUCUUUCAUUAGAGAUCAUCUCGUAUCAUUAUUGACCCUAAUUCUUUCGCUUGUUCCAGCAACUCGAUAGGUAUCACCUAGUGUUGAAGGCUUAGACCAAUGGGUCCAGAAAAUCUUGGAUGUCACUACGCCCGAGACCUGCACAUGGAAAGAACUGGCCUUUAAAUAUGGGUGGAAGGCCAAAAAUUAUGGUAAAUUAGACUCAUCUUGUCUUUGCUUUUCACGUGAGGAAAUUUAUUAAUCCUUUCUCUUUUUGCUGAAUUCAGGUAUACCCCAGGGCUCAGUUGUCCUCCCCGAGGAGGAUGUUUUGGCUUAUCCUGCUAAUACGGCAAGGUUGCUUCAGGAGGCGUUUACCCUAACAUGCAUCUUUGGUCCUGCUUUGGGCAUAAGUGUCUCUUUCCAGAGAGAAAGCAAGCAAAAAGGAGACGUUCCUCCACAGCUGGGAAAAAUAAAAAGGCAAGGAGUGUCUUGCCUAAAUCGUUUUUAGAUGCUAUGAUGUCUAACCGCCUUGCCUGAGCCAACCAUAGAUACUGUGAUGAUCGACGAUGAUGGAGAAGCUAGUGAUGAGGGGGCUUCUCUACAUAGAAGACGACUACUUUCAUCAACUCAACAAAAUGCUCAAUCUGUUGAGUUAGUUACACCAAUCGAGAACGAUGCCUCGGCACUCUGGGGGGAUUUUGAAAUGGUGGAAAAUGCCAACUCCUAUUUUCGGAUCCUAGUCGCUGCACCCAGUGCUGUGAUGCUGAGUACCGGGUCCCUGCCGUCUUCGGUUGACGAGCAACCAACAACCAGCACUACGUUUGCCGCAACUGCUUCUCACCCUUCAACGCCAUCAGCUUCAUCUCCUUUUUCACCAACUCUUCCACCAGCAAUUACUACAUCAUCUCCCCCGGUCGCAUCUGUCCAAGAAGAGUAUGUUCCUCUCCUCGAGUCCCUAGUUCAUGGGAAUUUGGGGCAAAAUUACGCUGUCCCCUCUGAAGACCCGCAAAGGAGGGGCAACGUUAUUUUCUCGGUCUCUAUUGGAUGCAAUCUACUGUCUCGUCCGGUAGAACUUGCUAACUAUCUAAAGCCUUUGAUUUCAGAAAAAGAUAGGGAAAAUAUACAAGCUCUCUUGGGAGAAUGCUUGUUGAACAAUGCCAUGCACAAUGCCGCAGUGGUAUAUCUUUCGUUUUCUUCGUUAUUUCUUCUACCUUUGAUACAACAUUAUUCUGAGUUUGCAUCUUCUAUUUCGCAUGCUAAUUUUCUUGCUUCCAAGGGACUCUAACGGUUGAUUAGAGAUAAAGAGGAACUUACCUCUGAGCGGGAUCAACUUUUGGCCGAGCGGGACCAAACUACUGCUCACCUCUCAGAACUGGAAGCUAAAGCUGUUGAGGCAGUUGUGUUGGAGGCUCGAUUGCCGCAAAGCGAGCAAAAAGUAGAGACCCUUAGCCAAGAGAUCUCCCCGUCGAGGGUUCAAUUUGAAGAGGCUUGGGCAAAAUGGGCUGAAGUCCAUAGUGUCGUUCUUGCUGCAUCCGGUCGCGAGGCUGCCUCCGCUGAAAGAUUAAAUAAUUUAGAGGCGGCCUUGAACUCCAAAACGAAGUGCUUGCUGCUGCCAGGGUUAAGUAUGCCUAACUGGAUGAGAAGUAUAAGAAGACUGUUGCGACCAAAAUACUCACGCAAGUGUACGCGAUCUUCAAGUAAUAUAGUAAUAAGUAAAGUAUCGUUCCCACAAGGACUUAUGAUCAACUUAUCAACUGAUGCAAACUCAAACAGUUAUCGAUUCAAGCUAAUUCUUCACAAAAUACAUAAAUAACCAAUUUACAAUUUAACUAGUAGACAAACAAUAAUACAAUGCAAAGUUACUACACCACUUAUGCAAUUUUCUUUCAACAAUUAAUAAGAGAGAUAUUCCAGGGUUAUGGGCUUGCUAGAGAUCAUGCUACGCUUUUAGCUUAAAAAUAAUUUAUUGAAUUAUCUGGGUUAUUGAUUAUAGGGUUGAUAAUAUCCAUAAGAAUCUGUCGAAUUCUUAUGCACCUAUUCAAAUUAAAUUAAUACCUAUAUUUCUAUGGCAGUAAUAUUAACUCAAAUGCAUUUACAAGUCCUAUUUUUCAACCAAACAAGGCAAUUAAGUAUAUUUCUAUCUUAAUCUCUAAUCUUUCACCCGAUGCCCAAGAUCCAGAUCUUGUUCUAUUUGAUUCUAUAUGCAAUCAAGAAUUUCCUUUUUCAAGUUUAACUCAAGAUUCGUAAAUAGUAUUUUACUGUCAACUAUGCAGUAAAAUAAUUAAUAACAGAAUCAAAUAAACAACCCUUAACGAUAAAUUCUAGAUCAUCUAUUUAAGCUUCAAACAACAUAAUCAUCUAACACACAUCACCCCAGAAUAUUUGGGGUUUUAGCUACUCAUAAUUAUACAAACAUCAACAAUAUAAGUCUUAAACAUCAAAUAAAUAGAUACUAGAAGAAAGUUUAGAAAAACUCUUUUAAUCCUUGCUCCAAAGUGUUGUCUCCUCUUGAUUUUGAUCCUCCAAUCUCCUUCUCCUUUUCUCUCUCAAAAUAGGUCUCCUCCGUCAAUAAUGGUUGCUUUACCCUUUUUAAUCGUGUAAGAAUGGGUUUUGACAAUUAUGCCCUUUUAAGACCAAAAUAGAAUAGUUCUGCAAUUUUUACACGUCCGCGUCGCCCCGCACGAUGCCCCAUGCGACGCGUACAUGGAUUUGUCAAAGACAGAAUACAAUUUAACGGAGCAGAACAAAUUUUUGCUAGAGUUUGCUUUGCCGCGGCGCGCCCCGCAGUGCGGCAGUGCAUUUUUCUGUGCUGCUUCAUUUUUUCUUUUGUUUUUCUAUCUGGGCUUGCUAUGCGACUCCCGAACACGAUCCCGUAUAUUUAGCUUUUACUCAGACUUCAAAGCCCAAAAUUAAUCAAAUUGAUCCCAAAUUUAAUUCAUAAGUCGGAAUCGCUUCCUGCAAGGCAUAAAACAUGAAUUUAGUAUAAUUCAUUAUUAUUUAAGCUCAAACCUUUGUAAAAUACAAUAAUUAAAGUGUUGUUACAAUGACUAAAAUACGAGUUUUUAGCCUAUGAUUAAAGACCAUUUAACAUAAUAGACUUUUCAGCUCUAUGGUCCGUGACCUCGAUGUCAGCCUUCGGUUCGUUAGAUCCGUACGGAAAAAUCUUUCUGCUAAGGUUUACCAACUUAAAGAAGAAUUUCAGCGUCGAGCGACUUCCUUCAUUGUUGCGAAAAUGCAUUCAAUGUAUAACACGAGGAGAAAAACCUUAUAAGAGGCCAAAGUGGGUGUCAAAGAUUUUGACGCCGAAGUCGCUAAGGCCCUCGAGCUAGAGUUAGCAGUAAAAAGAGGUGUUCCGACCAGGCCUGAUGAUAUCGAUUCUUCUGGUUCGGUUUUGAUUUCUCGGGAACUGAAGAGGAACCGGAAGGUGAUGAUGCUGAGGGCCAAAAUGAUGAAGGCCAAGAUAUCGAGCUGGCGACUGAUCUACCUCCUUCUUCUUAGGGCGCAAAUGUUUCUCUUCCUCCGGGUUCUGGAAAUGUAGUAGUUUAGCUUUUGAUUUCUUUUUCAAACCCUUGUACUUGUGUCGUUCGUUGUUAAAACUUUUUGCUUAAUUACUGCAUGAACUUCCCUUUCUGUGCGCUUUCGUUUAAGCAUUAUGCAAGUUUAAUCUUUUGCGCCUUUUUUAUUUAAGUAUUUGCGCAAGUUUUCUUAUUGCGUCUUUUUUUUGUUUAAGUAUUUGCGUAAGUUUGCUUUUUGCGUCUUUUUGUGCUGGCUUCAGGUGUAUUUUUCCCUCAAAGCAUUUGGAUUCCGAGCAUAAAUUCUUCUGAAAUCAACCCUUUAUCGUGAGGGUUUUCAUAAGAGAGAGUCCUCUUUUGUUUACAGUGCUCUUGAAGAGAACGACUCAUGUUCAUUACGACACUAGCAUUUGAAGUACUUGUUUAACUUUCAAAUGACAAAAUCAAUUCAUCGUUCAGACAAUAAACAAGAUAGAAAUAAAAGGCCUUUACUUUAUUCCUUCAGUUUUCAAAAGGUACACAAGCAUUCAUUAUGCUAAAAAGAAAUUGCUAUUUCUUGUGGCUAACUUGUACAACUUGUUUCUAUGGGGUUGGCUGCGCAGUCCCUAUGUCGAUGAUACAACUAUGUUUCCAAUUUUUAUAUUCCGGUUGACAUGUCAGUUAUUGUUGUCAUAUCCUCAUAUCAUUCCCGUCCCCCUCCCCCCCAGUGUUCGAAUGCGAAGAAUGCGAAUUGGAACAUUAGAAGUUUUGCACCUUCGAGGAUUCCACUAAAGAAUUGCUAGAUAAUCUUCAGUUCGGUAACAAGCUUCACUUCCCAUUAAGAAUUUAUGCUAUCGAGACAAAGAUUAUAUAAAAAUCCCCUAGUGGCUUGCACUUGCGAACGGUCGGGUAACCUUUGUUCGAUAGCAAACUUAACUUCCUAGUAGGAACUUUGCUACCGAGCAAAAUGUGGUUCUUCGCUUGUGUGCCUUGUUAUUGAAAGGUCUUAUUGAUUUUAUUGAAACCUUCUUCCUAGUAUACUUUCACCUGCCUCGUUAAAAACCUUGUCAGAAAAAUCCAAUUCGACCAAAAACUAGAUGAAAGGAAAAAGAGUGUAGCACAUACUUUCGGUACAGGUGAUGUCCAUCACCAAUAGUAUCUCUUGAGAUGUUCCACGUUCUAGUUGCUUGGAAACUUUUCUCCAUCUUGAUUCUCCAACUCGUAUGAACCUUUUCCCAUAACAACUAAAACCCGGUAUGAGCCUUCUCAAGUUGGACCUUUCUUCCCAGCAUUGAGUUCCCGGGUGAUUUGAGUUACUUUCUUUAAACCAAGUCUCCCACUUUGAAAUAACGGAGUUUGGCUCUUCAGCAGUAACAUCUUUCUAUUCUUUGCUUUUGAGCUGCCAUCCUUAUACGCGCCAAAUCCCUCCAUUCAUCGAGCAGUUCUAGAUUGACCAACAUUGCUUCGUUGUUUGCUUCUUCGUUCACCUGAAAGUAUCUCAGGGCAAGUUCCCCUACUUCCACUGGGAUCAGGGCUUUUUCUCCAUACACAAGGAAACAAGGAGUUUCUCUUGUGCUCGAUUUGGCUGUUGUUCGGUAGGCCUAUUGUACUCCUGGAAGUUCUUCGGGCCAUCUGCCUUUAGCUGCUUCCAACCUCCUUUUGAGAUUCUGAAUAAUCACUUUGUUUGUUGAUUACGCUUGACCAUUUGUGCUCGGAUGAUAAGGCGAAGAUGUGAUCAUUUUGAUUUUCGGGUCUUCAAGGAACUUUGUGCCUAUAAACUGUGACUCGUUGUCACAGGCUAUCUCUUUUGGUAAAUAAAAUCUGCAAAUUAUGUUUUCCUAGAAGAAAUCUACCACUUUGACGAGCGCAAAACACAACACAAAAUUAUUGCUCGCUAGUCAAAGAUAGUAUAGUUUAAUUAUCGUCUCCACCGGGAUUGGUUUAAGCAGUAUUCGAAUAAUUUUCAAUUAAUUACUAUCCAGGAAAGUUAACACUUGAUGUAAUGACUAUUACUAUGAUUAACUACUACAAAUUAAGCACUUAACAGUGGAUCACAAAAAUUAGCAGAUGAGCUGUCACGACCCAAGUUCGCCUCCGUGAACUGUCGUGACGGCACCUAGUCUCUACGACUAGGUAAGCCUAACAAUUGCGGAAAAAGAAAACAAAAUGCGAAAAAACUAAUGAAAACUGAAGAUAAACAAAUACAGAAGCGUUGAAGAUACUGCUCGGNNNNNNNNNNNNNNNNNNNNNNNNNNNNNNNNNNNNNNNNNNNNNNNNNNNNNNNNNNNNNNNNNNNNNNNNNNNNNNNNNNNNNNNNNNNNNNNNNNNNNNNNNNNNNNNNNNNNNNNNNNNNNNNNNNNNNNNNNNNNNNNNNNNNNNNNNNNNNNNNNNCUGCAUCUUGACUCCAAAAUAAGGACGAGUGGAUCUCUCCGGUCUAUGAGGUCUCCUCGCCUUCCUGUACUCUCUCUCUUGACCUCAUCUGUCCUCUCUCUCCCAGACCCACCUGUCCUCUACCCGGCGAGCGACCCUUCACACCUUCUGAAAUGAGAUCAUAGGUUGUGUCGCCAUGACACCUAGAACCCGACCAAUGUGAACUCGCUGCUCUGGAGUGGGGGCGGCGGGAGUCUGUGCUCCUUCUUGGGCCUGGGAUGUGGUUGCAGCAAGGGGAAUCAACUCUGCCUGAGCUAGAAUAGUGUACAUGCUCACGAACUGUGCAAGAGUCUCCUAAAGAGCUGGAAUAGUAGUAGCAGUAGGCGUAUCAGGUGCCUGGACUCCGACUGGAACUGCUGGUGGCUCUUCUGUGGUAGCUCGCAUGGGUGCUCUGGCUGCACCACGAGCGCGUCCUCGGCCUCUACCCCGACCCCGACCUCUGACGGCUCUAGCAAGGGGCACGAGUGCUUGGUCAUCUCCGAUAGCACGUUUCCUCACCAUCUAUGAAAGAAUGGAAGAUAGGGGUAUUGAAUUGGUGAUAUCAAAAAUCUCGCAUGACAAGGAAGUCAAAUGAAGUGGAAUUUUCCUAACAGUUACAUAGCCUCUCGUAGAUAAGUACAGACAUCUUUGUACCGAUCCGUGAGAAUCUAAUAAAUCGGCUUGUGAUUCAUGACUCCUAUGAACCUAGAGCUCUAAUACCAACUUGUCACGACCCAAGUUCGCCCUCCAUGAACUAUCGUGAUGACACCUAGUCUCUACGACUACGUAAGCCUAACAAUUGCACAAAAAGAAAACAAAAUGCGGAAAAACUAAUGAAAAUUGUAGAUAAAAAAAUAUAGAAACAUUGAAGAUACUACUCGGCAUAUACUAAUACAAGAUCUCAAAAACUGAACAACUUCCCAAAACCCAGAAUCUCAUGAAAUCACAAGCUAAGGAUACUACAUAGUGCUCUAACUCCAAAAUGUCUAAAUCAAAGUAAAUACAGAAGGGCUAUAACUACAAGAGAGAAUAGAGAGGGACUUCUCGGUCUGUGAACGUGGCAGAUAUACCUCGAAGUCUCUUAAGGAUCGCCUCGCCUCAAGGAUGGUAGGGCUGAGACGAAGAACCUGCAUCUGCAUAUGAAAAACAUGCGUAGAAAGGGCAUGUGUACACCACAGCCGUACUCAGUAAGUGCCAAGCCUAACCUCGGUCGGGUAGUGACGAGGAAGGUCACGGCCAUACUGGUCAUAUACAUAUAUAUAAAAGGAGAUGAAACAGUAUGAAGUAACACAUGAUAAUAAGAAUAAUAACAACUACAAUAGAGAGAAAACAAAAUCACAAAAGAAUAUAGCUCCACACAGAAAUACCAACCGAGGAUCUCCUAGGAUAUCGUCCUGUAGACCCCAAAUGUAAAUAUCCAGUGGAUCUCUCGGGUGUCGUCCAGUAGUCCAACUCAUAGUGCACAGGGGAUCUACCGGAAUACCAAUCCUUAGUCCUAAAUGUAAAUAUCCAGUACAUGGGGAAUCUACGGGGUGCAGUCCCAUAGUUCCAAUGUAAAUGUGCAGGGGGGAUCUACCAGAAUACCAAUCCGUAGUCCCAAAUAAACAGGCAAGGGGGAUCUACCGGGAUAUUGCCUGUAGUCUCAAAGUAAACACACAACAAGAUCAUGAAGAAUAUUCAAUUCUAUCCAGUUCCAUACCAAGGAAAAACAAGUAUUUCUAACCUAGCAUGCUGUACAGAAUUCAAAUAAGGCAGUUUGAGCAAGUAAAAUAGUUAAGUCACUUAGGUAUGCUUCCCUAAGCUAACAGUAGGCUUAAAAUUGCAAGUAAUGUACAAUAAGGAAGAAAAACACAAUUAUAGUUACUAAUGAAAACAAGAUUUUCAACAAUUAGUACAUGUACGCACUCAUCACCUCACGUAGAAGGCAUUUCAUAUAUCAAUAAUACCAAAUCCGAAGGGAAAGUUUCCCCCACAUAAGGUUAGGCAAGUCACUUACCUCGAAUCAACUCAAUCAACUCAAAAUCACAUUCUUACCACGAUACUCUACUCCAAAUGGCCCAAAUAUAUUUAAAUCAAUUGCAUAAUGUAAAUAUAACUUCAAGUAACUAAUUCCACUAAUUAAUUCGAAGCUAACAUGCGAAAUUGAGAAAAUUGCACAAAAAGUCCCCCGGGCCCAUGUCUCGGAAUCGGGUAAAAGUUACGGAUUAUGAGCCCCUAUUCACUCACGAGUCUAACCAUACCAAAAUCAUCCAAAUCUGAUGCAAAAAUCUUAAUCAAAACCCCAAAAUUAGGCCUAAGAACUUUUCCAAAUUUUUCCCCAAUUUCUCACCCCAAAUCCGAAAUUAGAUGAUGAAUUCACGUUUAGAUUAAUGGGUGUUAUAAGCAAAAAUGAGUUAGGAAUCAUUACCCAAUUGAUAUCUCUGAAAAUCCCUCAAAAUCUCGUUCAAAUCCGAGCUCCCAAACUCUAGUUUUGAUAAAAUGGCUAAACCCUCGAUUUUGAAACUUUAUAAUCUGCUCAGGUAAUUCCUUCUUCACGAACGCGAGACCAUUGUCGCGAAUGCGAUGCACAAAAAUCACUGGCCAGCAUUUCCUCUUUCGCGAACACGAGGGACCACUCGCGAAUGCAUAGCUUACACUGGCGGACCCUACACAAACGUGAGGACCAUGUCGCGAACGCGAAGACUAAAAGGCCCAUACCUUCACGAACGCGGGGCAUCAUCGCGAACGCGAAGCAUGAUUCAGCUGCUUCACCAAGAUGCUCUACGCGAACAUGAGAGCCCUCUCGCGAACGCGAUGAAGGUUUUCUCUGCAACACAACAGCAGAAAAUCUGCAACUUCUCUAAGUCCAAAAACGAUCCAUUGAGCAUCCGAAACACACCCGAGGCCCCCGACACCUCAACCAAACAUGCCAAAAAAUCCUAAAGUAUCAUUCAAACUUGUUACAACCUUCGGAACGCUUAAAACAACAUCAAAACACCAAAUUAACAUCUGAUUCAAGCCUAAGAACUCCAAAAACUCCCAAAUUCCGCUUUCGAUCAAAAACUCUAUCAAACCUCGUUCGAAUGACCUGAAAUUUUGCAAGCAUGUCACAUUCAACUCUACGUAGCUACUCUAACUUCCAGAAUUCCAUUCCGACCUCGAUAUCAAAAUCUCACUAUCGAACCGGAAACUUCAAAAAUUCAACUUUCGACAUUUCAAGCCUGAAUAAGCUACAGACCUCCAAAACACAAUCCGAACAUGCCCCUAAGCCCGAAAUCAUCCAACGGAGCUAAUGGAACCAAUAUAAUUCUAUUAUGAGGCCGUCUUUACACUUCCAACUAUGGUCCAAAUUCUAAAGCUUAAGCUCUCUUUUAGGGGCUAAGUGUCCCAAAACACUCCGAAAUUCAAAACAAAUCAUCCCGGUAAAUCAAAAUAGCAGAAACAAACACGGGAAAAGCAGUUAAUAGGGAAUCAGGGCAUUAAUUCUUAAAUUGACCGGUCGGGUCAUUACAUGAGCAAUAAAUAAAUAUCAAUGAGAGAAAUAAGGGUAAGUGACUGGACAUGUGCAAGAUAAUUGACUCGGGAUCCGAUUCAUGAGUUAGUUUACUCUAUAAUACUGUUGAUUCUCACAAAUUCAAUGUGCCACGACCCAAACCAAUGGACCGCGAUGGGCACUCGGUAUCUUACUCAACCGAGUACCAACAUAACGUAUCUUUCUUAUUACAUCAUCAUAUACACGUGACAUACGGGCCUAAUAGGCCAAUAUAACAUUUAUAAACUCAAAACGUAAGCNNNNNNNNNNNNNNNNNNNNNNNNNUAAAUCAUACUAACCAAUCAAGAAACUCUAAAACAAAUGGAGCGCACCAACAUCUUCCGCUGAGCUGAUAUCCUACUUGGAGGGCUCUCGACCUGUCUAUCGGGACCUGCGGGCAUGAAACGCAGUGUCCCCAGGAAAAAAGGGACGUCGGUACAAAAAAUAUACCGAGUAUGUAAGGCACAUAAAUAAGUACAUAACAGACAUGGAAGAAAUAUAGAGUAAUUGACUCAACCUGUAAGUCUAGAUAACUCUGUAAAUCAUAAAUAUUUAUAAUGUCAUGCAAAUAAAUGUCAUGUAUUGCAUACGCCUGUAUGUGCAUAACAUCAUCAAGCCUCUGAGGGCAUCCCAUCAUAUCAUCUCGGCCACUAUGGGCAAAUCAUCAAUGUAUACCAGCUGACCAGGUGGUGGUGUGUAUAUAUAAUGCCAUAACCUUUCCCAUAUCCCAUAUACAUAUAUAUACAUACAUAUAUACGUGUAUAUAACACCAUCUGGUCAUGGGUCAAUGUACAUGAAUUCAAUGCAUGAAAAGUACGUUAAUAAAAUCUUUCAAAACGUCAUAAGACCAUUUUGCAUUUGAGUAAUAUCAUAAAGUAAACUCUUUUCAACUUUCAUAUUUUUCUGAGACCCAUGAACAUAUGAUAAAAUAUUACGACACAUGGAAAUUAAAUAACAUAGAUAUUUCUAAUACUUCUAUGAAUAGAGUCAUUUAUGGAAUUGGUGCAUUUGCUCAUUUCUUCUGUAUAACUUGGACCAUGCCGAAAAGAAAGAAGGGAUGACCUUAACAUACCUGGAGUAGGGAAAAAUCCGUAUGAUAUUCUUGGAUAAGGUCACCGUACUCCUUUAGAACCAAAAUUUUUUUACGCUAACAAAAAUUCUAAUACGUCUCAUUGGAUUUUUUUGUAGGAAUUGGUAAAUCCUCUGUUCAAGCUUUGUGAAUUUAUCAUAGUCUUCUCGAUUUCCUUUAUGAACAUUUGUAUCAUCUGCUUGUGCUUUUCUAUGUGUCAUUCUGUAUUCUGUGAUAAUUCACAUGUCCUAAAAUGAUUCCACUUAUUGUAUACUUGGUUAAGCAAAUCCUUUGUUCAAGCUUUAUGAAUUUAUUAUAGUCAAGGAUUGCUAAGAUUGUAAUGUUUGAAGAAUGAAAUUUGGUUGAAACCCAUCAGAAUGGCUAACACCUCCCCCCUUCUCAUUGUAGUCUUUGAUAUAGAAAUUAUUUAGGACUAAAGUGAAUGUGUAAGACUUCACAUUAGUUGCCACCUCAUCCAAAUUGAUCAAGAGUCACUUCUUGGAGAAGUGGCUUGCUGCCAUGUGGGGUGGGGGUGGGGUUUUAUCUUAUCCAAAUAUAUCUCCAAUUAAUUAUGUAAUGUUCCGUUACCUGUUGAUUAAUCAAUUACCCACAAAAUUGAGAAUUAUUUCCACUUACUUAAAAUAUUACACACUUUUUACAUACCUUAUACACCUUACCGGGUAUUUUAGCUCGGGCCGUAUUUUAUCUCAAAAUGCCAAACUUGGACAAAAUUCAUUUUCUUUGACUUACUCCCCCUUUCACCUUCAUAAAUUUACCAAUCGCUUGUGAAAUAGCAUAAUCCUAAUAAUCUCCAAAUAAUCUUUUACUUGGACUGAUGUCAUUUACCUUACGACAAAUUUAACGUACAAUAAUUUAGGGUGCAACAUCGUCGUAACUUAAUACUGUGAAGCGUGGCAUCACCAUAAUUUAAUAUUGUUGGGUGCAACACUGUCGUAACUUAAUACUGCAAAGCGUAACAUCACCGUAAUGUAAUACUGCUGGGGGUAACAUCAUCGUAAUAUAUUACUGCAGAGCAUAACAUCAACGUAAUACUACGGGGUGUAACACAACGGAUAAUCAAAUUACACUUGAAAUUAAUCUUCGUCUUUCGAUUAAACAUUAAUUUCAGUAAUUAAUCUAAUUGAAACACGGUAAACAAUUGCAAUGAAUAAAAUGAUGGUUAUGGUCUUACGGGUAACUUCUCACGAAUAUUUUCUUAUUUUCUAGUUUGAUUAACAAUUCAAGAGGCUCUUUCGAUUACCUAUUUGAAUCACGAAUUUAGCCUAGAGCAUAAGAUGUAAUGAAAUUGAAUAUAAAGCUCCUAUUUCGAUUAAGCAAAAUAAUAAAUACCUUCACAAUACGAUUUAAAUCUCCAUUAAUUAAUUCAAACAAUUAUCAAUAAUCGAAUCCCUAAUCAGAUUAUCAAUACACCAUAUAUGUCAACUCCCUAAGGGAAAUUACUCCAUAGCAAUGGAGUGUGACAUCUCAAUAAGGUUUAGAAAUAAAGAAACCAUCAAUUUUAAUGAUUUGAUAUAAACUCAUGUAUUGUACCGAUUGCAGGUUAAAAUAUUGAUGAAUUCUUGAGUCUUCUUGCCUUGGUUCGUUCUCCAAUCUUUUGUAGGUGAAAAGUCCCUUCAAAAUUGUAUUUUUGGUGUAUCUAUACGGUGUAGAAACAAGCCUGGACGAAACUACCCUUUCCUGGCCGAGCUUGAAAAUCACUUUGAUAAUUUUUCCCAGUCGUAUUGCAUGCCGCACCGCGCCAUGCGGCGCGCUAAUGAGGAAAUCCAUAGGGCAUGCAAUUCACUCUUCAUGCCAUUUUUGCAUUGUCGCGCCGCACCGCGCCUCGUGCCGCCCCAUGCGGUGUGAUAAUGGCUUUUUCUCAGAGUAAAUUCGUUUGUUCACUUUUAGAUUUCGGUCUUGAUCCUCGACUCCCGAAUGUGAUACCGGCUUAAUUUCUUGGGAUUUUACUAAAAUUUCAAAGCUCCAACAUGUUCGGUUUCGCUCCAAUUUACCUAAAUAGCUCAGAAUCAGUUCCUACAAGGCAUAAAAUACGCAAUAAGUAUAAUUCACUAUCAUAUAAGCUCGACCACACUAAAAAUGCAAUAAUUAGAGUGCAAUACUACGGCUAACACACAGGUUUCUAGCCUACUAUCAUUAUCCCACACUUAGACCAUUACUCGUCCUCGAGCAAUUAAACUACACUUCACAUAGGGACGACCUUUUCAUCAAACACCCUCCCUAACACACCAUUCCAAGAAUAUUAAAAAUAGACUGAGCACUAUAUCAUAACAUCCCAACCUCAAGACUCGACUCAGAAGCACCACGCAUUUUUCAUAACCUGCUCACUUACUCCAACACAGAGGUCAAACACGUUACCUUACCUUCGCAAAUCAUGUGCCCUCACGCAAACAAUAAAGAGUAGUUCCCCACACAAUAUCGUUCAAGAAAAAUUAGGAACUCAAUAAAAAAAGAAUUAACUCACUCUCAUAAUUGAAAUUCAUGUGCAAUGGCCGACGUACCAUAGGUUUGCCCAUAGUGUAAUACUCUACUAAUUGAGAUCAUUCAAUCAAGGAUCAAGUAGGACUUUAAUUGGUUGUAAUAUAGGCUGCAGGAUGGGUAGGAUACAUAUAGAUUUAGUGGCUACACCUUCCUGAGCACUUUAAUACAUAUACAAUUUCACAAUUCAAACCCCACACUUAUGUCAAACCAAAUCCCGACUUUUAUACAUGAUAGCAUCAAGCUCCCAAUAUCUUUAAGCACAAACAAGAUCAGAAAUAGUUCACAAUUUUUUUUUCCUAAGUUCUGAUUUUUCUUCUUCUUUUUCAAUCAAACUCUCUUUUUUAAAUUUUUCUACAAGUGGCUCUCACAAUUUUUCACACACUUCACUUUUCUCCUUUUUCUAAAGCUCCGCUCAAAAACCCAACCAAGCCUUCACUUAGCUUUUACAAGCUUAUAACGAUUUUAAGUGCUCACGAGAGGCUGAGGUUCAACAGAUGACCAAUUCAAACCAAAGGGUAAGGCUUGUAAUGUGGUUGCUAAAGAAACAUAAUUACAGGCUCAAAGGGGUUAACUAAGAUACACUCAAUUAGGUUGGUCACAGACGUAUAACUGGCUCAACAAAGAAAUGCCUAUAUCACUUCCUAGACUGAACAAGACCACUAUUUCGCUUUGCAAACACAUGGGGCAAGUUCUAGGCGUUAACUGCCAUGCAUAGAAUAUCACAAAAACCUCUCUCACACAUUGGCACAUAACUCACUUAGGAUCGGAUCUUUCACGACUCUCUAGUCAAAGCAGUUCAGCAGAGUCACAAUCACACAAUUUAAAACAUUUAUCUAAGAGUCAAGAAUUGAGUGUAGGUGUUACAACUAAGACACUUACCACUCUCAAGGCAUAUGCAGUCAAGGGAAGUUGAUUCAAAUUAGCCCUAUGACUCAAGAUUCUUUAUUCCUAUAAAAAAACCUAAAAACUAUCUACACCCGGUUCGAGUAAAACCCUUGGAAAAGAACCGUGGCACAAAGAAAAAACAAGGGGGAAUUACUACACUACCUAAGGAAAAAACUUAAAGAAAAUAUAAAAUAACAUAAAAAUAAAACAAAAGACAUAUUUUUGGAUUUUCAAUUUUUUUUCCGUUCGACUUCAAAUCCCUCAAGAAGCCAAUCGACAAAAUCCAUCGUCGGGAAGAGUCGAAACUAAACUAUUAAUUACUAACUAUUACAGGCCAAUAGAAUUCAGAGUUAUAAUUUACAGACCAUAUUGUCUACGAAAUCAAGAACAAAUCAAACAAAACCAACUGGCAAAUAGGAAACAAGUAUAAAUAAAAAUACAAUCAAAUAGGAGCACCCCACCACACACUUAAGAAAUUGCAUUGUCCAUAAUGCAAAACAGUAAAACAAGGGUGAAAAAGAUAACUCCCGGAGGCAUGUGGCCUACUCCUCAUCACAGUUGUGACAUCAAAAGGCUUUUGAGGCUGUAAAAUUGGAAUUGUCCGAUCAUAAUGGAACUCCUCCUCCACAUGGUGGGUCCUCAGAAGCCAUGUGAUCAUACUCGGGAAAUACAGGUGGCGGGCCCCAAGUGUCGUACUUGAGACAUGUGCUCAAGCAUAAUCUUACCCAGAUCAAUCUUUUCCAAGUCAUGAAAGCAUAAAUGAGACACACCUUCAAUUGGGAGACAUCAGUGUCGUUCUGGGUAGGCAUGAUCCUCGCAUUAAUCAACCAGAGAAUGACUCUGGUGGGACGUUGGAAAUGACAUUUCUUCAUGUCCCUGUGGAUCUCAUUAGCAUCUCGCAUCCAUGUGGCAAGAGACCCCGCACCACACAUCUGGCGUCUAAUAUCAAGAUAGGGGCGACGCAGCAACCUUAUGAACAACUUAUGCGGAUGAUCCGUGAAUCCCAUGAUUUUAUUUAUGUCCCGGGAAGAAAAUGGAAUCAUCUUGCAUCUUACCUAUGCUUCAUACACAACAUCUAAACUGGCCUUAGGUUGCCAGUUGGCGUAGAAUUCCUUGACCAUAUUUACGUUCAAUAAUUCACUGGGAUGGAACAAGCUCUCAAUGCCCAGGAAUCUGAUGUUGCUGUAAAUCCCCGAGUAUUUCCUAGAUAGAUUACCAUCAUCAAUUCCAACUUCCUGGUCGGGACUCACCGCCAGAACAAAGGUCUGGUACCACAUCCUAGCAUGAGCUAGCACAACACAAAUGUCGUACUUGCAGCCUGGUACUACAUCUGCAUCGAGAUUAAUGCACUCCUCUUCCUCCUCCACUGGGGAGGGAGUAGGUGCCUUCCUACCUCCUCGACGGCUACUAGAGGCAAACUCUGAGGUACCUAUGUUAGAACGUUUGCUAGGACGGCGAGACAAUGUAGCUGCAUAAGACAAACAUCAUUAGCCACAACACUUAAAACAAAAACAAGACCAAAUGGGGUAACCACCCCACAUUUAUGUUAUUGGCAAGUUCACAAGUACAAUGUGUAAUGAGGACUUAGAUUACCCCAUUGGAAACACGCCACAAGCAAUCAAUAGCCCACCCAACCACCAACACAACAUUCCAACAACAUAACCACAGACUACACUAGUGUCAACGACAAAAUUAAGAAGCUAAACUAGUAAUCACAAAAAGAAGAAUAAGAAGUUAGUCUAAUUCAUUACUAAUAAAAUUAGGAUACAAUACAACACUACACAAGCACAAUAGCACGAAUCGGACACCUCAUUUGGCACCUAGCAACACAUGAGCAAGGGGUGGUCAAUCAAUUAGAACUCGGUGAUAAUAAGUUAAAGUUUCACAACAUAAGAACAUGGCAUCCCACCCCACAUCAUCAAGCAUCACAUCCCAUAAAGCAUUUCCCUUCUAAAUUUGCAAUACUACACAAUUUUAUGUCAUUAAGACAUUUCAACAAAUGCAUUGUGGGCAUAUCUUGAACCUUCUUAUUUCAAUUGAAAGUGGGUUGGAAUCACCACACAGCCACAUCAAAUACACCACUCACCACAACCACAACAUCACCACAUCUUCACAAUAGCACCAAGUACACAAAUUUUACACAAAACUUCACUAAUUUUCGGCCACUUGGUACCCCCACCAAGAUUCAACAUAAAUUCAUUCUACACUAUCAAAACACACCAAAAAUAACCCAUAAUCCGAAGAACAAUGAAAACCCCACAAGUUAAGCACCAUUUUCGGCCAUAGUAAGUAAAGAACUAAAAAAAAUAGCACAGCUACACCAUUUUCAGGGUGUUUGUCAGGGUCUCCAAAAAAACUUUAAAUAUUUUUUUUAUGUAAAUUGCAUUGUCGCGUCGCUGGGUUUGGCGCCCCAUGCGCGCAUGGUGAUGGGGUUCUCUAGAGAGCUAUCUCUUAUAGGGUUUUGUCCCUUUGUCCUAGCGCGAUGCCCCAUGCGGUGCGAUAAGCCACCUUUCUCAAAGUCCCGAUUUUUUUAACUUUUUAGCCUACGGGACACACCCCGGCUCAAUUCUGUACUUAUUUUGUGUUCAAUUCAUGCUCAUACCUGUUCAAAUAAUUAUCAAAACUCCUAAACUCUAAAUAAUCCUAAACUACCAUUAUUUAACUAGUCUACAAAAGCAAUAAAAAAAGAUUAGAAAUAGUCCUGAGUUAUAAUCAUCAUCUUACCUCCAUCACUUAGGCUCAUUUGAUCACGAUGCUAGAUGAUUACUUGUCAAAUCCUCCAACAAGGUACGGUUUCAACCUGUGCUCAUUCGCUUUAAGGCUUUCCUUCCCUUCCUCGUCCUAUAUUUCAAUGGCGCCAUACAGUGAGAUAUGUUUUACCACAUACGGACAUGUCUAUCUUGACUUGAAUUUUUCGGGGAAUAACCUAAGUCUACUAUUGUAUAAUAAGACUUUGUCCCCUUUCUGAAACUCCUUUGGCUUAAUAAGACGAUCAUGCCACCUUUUUGUAUUUUCCUUGAAUAUUCUCGCAUUUUCAUACGCAUCCAUUCUAAACUCCUCCAAUUCAUUCAUUUGUGCCAACCUGUGUUCACCUGCAAGACUAAGAUCAAUAUUAAGCAUCUUAAUUGCCCAAUAAGCUUUAUGUUCUAUCUCAACAGGUAGAUGACAUGAUUUUCCAUACACUAACUUGAACAGUGAAGUCCCUAUGGUUGUUUUGAAUACAGUAUAUGCCCAUAUAGCUUCAUCCAACUUUAUAUACCAAUAUUUAUGAGAAGCACUAACCGUCUUUUCAAGAAUUCAUUUAAGUUCACGGUUAUCCACUUCAAAUUGACCACUAGUUUGGCCAUGGUGUGAGAUUCCUGUUUUGUGUGUGACCCCAUACUUAGACAAUAAUGCAGCGAACUGCUUGUUCACAAAGUACAACCCAUUGUCACUGAUAAUCACUCGAGGUGUCUCAAACGGGUAAAGAUGUUCUUCCGUAAGAACUCACAUACCACCCGAGCAUCAUUGGUCCUAGUAAGGAUUGCUUUGACCCCUUUAGCGAUGUAGUCAACGGCUACUAGGCAAUACUCAUAAAAAUGCGACAUUGGGAAUGGAACCAUGAAGUCAAUGCCCCAAAUGUCAAAAAUUUCAUAUACCAGAAUGGAGUUGAGAGGCAUUUCGUCCCUCUUGAUAAUAUUACCUGCCCCUUAACACUUGUCACAUGCUGCUACAUACACUCGUGCGCCUUUGUACAAAGUAGGCCAAUAGAAAUUGGCUUUCAUGACCUUUGCUGUCAUGCAAUUUCCACCAUAGUGUCCUCCAGCUGAUCUAUCAUGGAAUUGAGACAUAAUGCUUGUCAUCUCUACUUUAGACACACAUCUUUGAAUCACACCAUCUGCAUACAGUUUAAAUAAGACGGGGUCAUUCCAAAAAUAACUUUUUACCUCACUUUGAAGCUUCCGUCUUCGAUCACGAGUGAGGUCACCAGGCAACCAUCCACUAGCCAAAAAGUUGGCUACAUCAGUAUACCAAGGCGGCCUUUCGGAGACCGCAACAAUAGAGAAAAUCUGCUCAUCAAGGAAUUCUUUCCAUAUUUCAAUUAUUUCAACUGGAGAUUUCUCAAGUCGAGAUAGAUGAUUUGCGACUUGAUUUUCUGUGCCCUUCCUAUCUUUGAUCUCCAAGUCAAACUCUUGGAGAAACAACACUCACCGUAUCAAACGCGCCUUGGACUCAUUCUUACUCAACAAAUAUUUCAAAGUGGAGUGAUCAAUGUGCACAAUCAUUUUAAUCCCCACCAGGUAUGAUCUAAACUUGUCAAAAGCAAAGACCACAACAAAGAUCUCUUUUUCAAUAGUGGCAUAGUUGACUUGAGCAUCAUUCAAUGUCCUAUUUGCAUAGUAGAUCGGCCUAAACAUUUUAUCUUUUCUUUGCCCAGAGCUGUUCCUACAGCUAUAUCACUAGCAUUACAUAUUAUCUCAAAUGGCGGGCUCCAAUCAGGUGUCACCAUAAUAGGAGCACUCACAAGCUUUUCCUUUAUCAAUUCGAAUGCUCUUAAGCACUCCACAUUGAAAACAAACUUGACAUCUUUUGCUAGCAAUGCAGUCAACGGCUUGGUAAUGCUGGAAAGGUUUUUAAUGAACCUCCUAUAGAACCCAACAUGUCCCAAGAAACUCCUUACACUCUUCACAGAAGUUGGUGGAGGGAGCCUAGAAAUUACAUCAACCUUAGCUCUAUUAACUUCAAUUCCAUGUGCAGUUACUUUGUGGCCCAAGACAAUUCCCUCUUUAACCAUGAAGUGACACUUCUCCCAGUUAAGAACCAAGUGAGUGGCUUCAUAACGUUCAAGCAUAAGCUCCAAAUUUUUCAAGCAAUCAUCUAAGUCACCACCAAAGAGGGUAAAAUCGUCCAUGAAUACUUCUAGACACUUCCCGUUUAAAUCGGAAAAUAUAGACAUCAUGUACCUCUGAAAAAUGGCAGGUGCAUUACACAACCCAAACGACAUCCUCCUGUAAGCAAAUAUGCCUGAUGGGCAAGUGAAUAUGGUCUUCUCUAUAUCUUCUGGGGAAAUGGGUAUCUGAUUAUAGCCUGAGUACCCAUCCAAAAAUAGUAGCAUCCAUGUCCCGCCACUUUCUUGAGCAUUUAAUCAAUAAAGGGGAGUGGGAAGUGGUCCUUCCUUGUUGCAUCAUUCAGCCUUCUAUAAUCAAUGCAUAUUCUCCAUCCAGUGACAGUUCUUGUGGGAAUCAAUUCAUUAUCUUCAUUUUUUACCACUGUCAUUCUAAUAUUCUUAGGUACAACUUGCACCAGACUAAUCUGUUGACUAUGAGAGAUGGGAAAAAUCACUCUCGCAUCUAGCAAUUUGAUAAUCUCCUUAUGCACUACCUCCUUCAAAUUUUUGUUCAACUUGCAUUGGGCUUGCACCACUAGCUUGCUAGUUUCUUCCAACAGAGUUUUGUACCUACAAAUGGCUGGAAUGAUUCCUUGAAUAACAGCUAUGCUCCACCCAAUGGCCUUCUUGUGCUUUGUCUGUAGCUCCACCAGUUUUUGCUCCUGUGUACCUGGAAAGUCAGCAGAAAUAAUCACAAGAAAAUUGUUAGUUUUGAGAAAAACAUAUUUCAAGUGAGUGGGGAGGACUUUCGAUUUCACAUUAGGCUUAGAAGCCUCCUGUUUUAGUUCCUCCUCAUCAACCACUUGAUCUUUAGUUUCAAGAGCUUCCACAUCUUUCUUUAUUUCAAAAUCUUCAUCCUCCACUAUGCCUGACUGAGUAAUACACCUCUCUAGAGUAUCCCCUACAAGCUUGUCAAACUUGUAUUUUUCAGCCAACUCUCCAAUAACAUCUAGCUUAAAACAGGAGUAAGCGGAUGCCUCAUUACUGGGGUAUUUCAUCAUUCUCUUCAUCUAGAACACCACUUUCUCAUUUCCCACUCUGAGCAUAAGCUACCCCUCAUAAAUAUCAAGGAUGACUCUACUUGUACAUAAAAAUGGCCUCCCCAGAAUUAGAGGCACCUCCUUAUUCACCUCCAUAUCCACCACAAUAAAGUCUACGGGGAACAUAAACUUGUCCACCCACAGUAGAAUAUCUUCAAUGAUUCCCUCCGGUAGGAUGGUGGUCUGGUCAGCUACUUGUGGGGACAUUGGUAUUGAUUUGAUCAUACUAAGUUCAUAUUUCAGUUUCCCGAAUACAGACAGAGGCAUUAGAUUUAUAAAUGCACCGGAAUCACAAAGGACCUUGUCGAAUUUUUCACUCCCCAACGAGCAUGGUAUGGUGAAGUUUCCUGGGUCCCCACACUUUUGGUGAAGUUUAUUUUGUAAUAUGGCACUGCAGUGGGCAUUCAGCUUGACUACCAUUGUCUCCUCCAAUCUUCUCGUGCUAGAUAGAAUUUCCUUCAAGAACUUUGCAUAAGCACGCAUCUGAGUGAGUACCUCUGUGAAGGGAAUGUUCACAUAAAGUUGUUCGGUCAUCUCCAUGAAUCACCCAAAACAUUUGUCAACUUUCUCCCGCUUCAUCUUUUGAGGGAAUGGUAGAGCUGACAUAUGUCUACUUUCUUCAGUUUCCUUUUGUACCCGUUAUUCUAGCUCUUUUGCU